GGCUUCGCUUUGACCAAAAAGAAUCUGACAAGGCCGGUAAGAGCUUUUAAUUAUCUCCAGAUAAAACCUUCAGCCAUUAGCAGGUAUGUAGACGGCACACAGUACAUUCAGCCAUUAGCAGGUAUGUAGACGGCACACAGUACAUUCAGCCAUUAGCAGGUAUGUAGACGGCACACAGUACAUUCAGCCAUUAGCAGGUAUGUAGACGGCACACAGUACAUUCAGCCAUUAGCAGGUAUGUAGACGGCACACAGUACAUUCAGCCAUUAGCAGGUAUGUAGACGGCACACAGUACAUUCAGCCAUUAGCAGGUAUGUAGACGGCACACAGUACAUUCAGCCAUUAGCAGGUAUGUAGAUGGCACACAGUACAUUCAGCCAUUAGCAGGUAUGUAGAUGGCACACAGUACAUUCAGCCAUUAGCAGGUAUGUAGACGGCACACAGUACAUUCAGCCAUUAGCAGGUAUGUAGACGGCACACAGUACAUUCAGCCAUUAGCAGGUAUGUAGAUGGCACACAGUACAUUCAGCCAUUAGCAGGUAUGUAGACGGCACACAGUACAUUCAGCCAUUAGCAGGUAUGUAGACGGCACACAGUACAUUCAGCCAUUAGCAGGUAUGUAGACGGCACACAGUACAUUCAGCCAUUAGCAGGUAUGUAGACGGCACACAGUACAUUCAGCCAUUAGCAGGUAUGUAGACGGCACACAGUACAUUCAGCCAUUAGCAGGUAUGUAGACGGCACACAGUACAUUCAGCCAUUAGCAGGUAUGUAGACGGCACACAGUACAUUCAGCCAUUAGCAGGUAUGUAGACGGCACACAGUACAUUCAGCCAUUAGCAGGUAUGUAGACGGCACACAGUACAUUCAGCCAUUAGCAGGUAUGUAGAUGGCACACAGUACAUUCAGCCAUUAGCAGGUAUGUAGAUGCAUUCAACCACUCAUGAAAACACUACACUAUAUACAACACUUCCAUCAUUAAAAAAAAAAAUCAAUAUUAAACUAUUUGUGGGUAACAAUUAAGUACCUUACUGUAAUACAUUUCCAUUCAAAUGGGUAAAAAUGACCUUUUAGCAAAAAAAUAAAUACUUUUGGACUGUCUGGGAGUGGUCUGAGUGGGGAGGGGGAAAGUGAAAACUUGCGGUUAUUGGCAGAGGUUUAGAACUCUCUCUGUUAUUGGUCUAUUAACCACCAUGAUGUCACCAUGGAAAGACGAAACUCCCGCCCAUGCAAACCUGCUGAUGAGAAGGUUCUGUGUAGAUUGUAUUUUCAACCAACAACUAUCAGGAAAUAACACUGACCAACACUUUUCACACUUUUACAGUGUUGGUUUCAUCAUCUGUUGUACAAUAAUGAUACAAAACAAUUUUGACUGGACUGGGCUUUCAAUGGCGUCCUAAUAAUACAAUACCUUCAGAAAUAUUCACACCCCUUGACUUGUUCCACAUGUUGUUGUGUUACAGCGUACAGAAUGUACCAUCUACAAAAAAAAUAUCCCAUAAUGACAAAGUGAAAACAUGUUUUUAGACAUUUUUGCAUCUUACUACAUUGUACAGUCUGAACAUUACCCCACCACCCCUCUCCGUUCUCUCACCUCACCCCUCUCACCUCCCUGUUCCUGUGCCGGUGAAGGACAAAGGAAGAUGCUAUAGAAAACCCUCACACUCCGUCUCUGUGCUUUGUCCACAGUAGAGAUGAGAGAAUAGCAGAAAAGCACAAAGACAGACAGACAGGAAAUACACUGAGAAAGAGUGUGUGUGUUGUCAAGGACAGUGCAGUGGUACAGUAUGUCAGGAGGAGCCAAGAGACAC
This is a long non-coding RNA of Oncorhynchus keta (chum salmon), 1811 nucleotides long. RefSeq lists it as uncharacterized. NCBI's taxonomy places the organism in Eukaryota, Metazoa, Chordata, Actinopteri, Salmoniformes, Salmonidae. The transcript has 5 exons. The record is from RefSeq and is a predicted model, not a curated record.